Molecule: non-coding RNA, 32 nt
Filed under: Homo sapiens (human)
Lineage: Eukaryota; Metazoa; Chordata; Mammalia; Primates; Hominidae
Source: RNAcentral
GUCCAUGAUGAUUUCAAGUUAUCCCUGUCUGA